AAAAAAAAAAAAGAGGGAAGGAUCCAUACUUGCAAUUUUCAGGCCUCCUCGUGCACGCACGUCACCCAGGCACCGUGCCCGAGCAUCGUGCCCUUGCACCGAGCACGCGUGCUGCGCCUGUGCGCACCGUGCACGCACGUCACCCAGGCACCGUGCCCGAGCAUCGUGCCCUUGCACCGAGCACGCGUGCUGCGCCUGUGCGCACCGUGCACGCACGUCACCCAGGCACCGUGCCCGAGCAUCGUGCCCUUGCACCGAGCACGCGUGCUGCGCCUGUGCGCACCGUGCACGCACGUCACCCAGGCACCGUGCCCGAGCAUCGUGCCCUUGCACCGAGCACGCGUGCUGCGCCUGUGCGCACCGUGCACGCACGUCACCCAGGCACCGUGCCCGAGCAUCGUGCCCUUGCACCGAGCACGCGUGCUGCGCCUGUGCGCACCGUGCACGCACGUCACCCAGGCACCGUGCCCGAGCAUCGUGCCCUUGCACCGAGCACGCGUGCUGCGCCUGUGCGCACCGUGCACGCACGUCACCCAGGCACCGUGCCCGAGCAUCGUGCCCUUGCACCGAGCACGCGUGCUGCGCCUGUGCGCACCGUGCACGCACGUCACCCAGGCACCGUGCCCGAGCAUCGUGCCCUUGCACCGAGCACGCGUGCUGCGCCUGUGCGCACCGUGCACGCACGUCACCCAGGCACCGUGCCCGAGCAUCGUGCCCUUGCACCGAGCACGCGUGCUGCGCCUGUGCGCACCGUGCACGCACGUCACCCAGGCACCGUGCCCGAGCAUCGUGCCCUUGCACCGAGCACGCGUGCUGCGCCUGUGCGCACCGUGCACGCACGUCACCCAGGCACCGUGCCCGAGCAUCGUGCCCUUGCACCGAGCACGCGUGCUGCGCCUGUGCGCACCGUGCACGCACGUCACCCAGGCACCGUGCCCGAGCAUCGUGCCCUUGCACCGAGCACGCGUGCUGCGCCUGUGCGCACCGUGCACGCACGUCACCCAGGCACCGUGCCCGAGCAUCGUGCCCUUGCACCGAGCACGCGUGCUGCGCCUGUGCGCACCGUGCACGCACGUCACCCAGGCACCGUGCCCGAGCAUCGUGCCCUUGCACCGAGCACGCGUGCUGCGCCUGUGCGCACCGUGCACGCACGUCACCCAGGCACCGUGCCCGAGCAUCGUGCCCUUGCACCGAGCACGCGUGCUGCGCCUGUGCGCACCGUGCACGCACGUCACCCAGGCACCGUGCCCGAGCAUCGUGCCCUUGCACCGAGCACGCGUGCUGCGCCUGUGCGCACCGUGCACGCACGUCACCCAGGCACCGUGCCCGAGCAUCGUGCCCUUGCACCGAGCACGCGUGCUGCGCCUGUGCGCACCGUGCACGCACGUCACCCAGGCACCGUGCCCGAGCAUCGUGCCCUUGCACCGAGCACGCGUGCUGCGCCUGUGCGCACCGUGCACGCACGUCACCCAGGCACCGUGCCCGAGCAUCGUGCCCUUGCACCGAGCACGCGUGCUGCGCCUGUGCGCACCGUGCACGCACGUCACCCAGGCACCGUGCCCGAGCAUCGUGCCCUUGCACCGAGCACGCGUGCUGCGCCUGUGCGCACCGUGCACGCACGUCACCCAGGCACCGUGCCCGAGCAUCGUGCCCUUGCACCGAGCACGCGUGCUGCGCCUGUGCGCACCGUGCACGCACGUCACCCAGGCACCGUGCCCGAGCAUCGUGCCCUUGCACCGAGCACGCGUGCUGCGCCUGUGCGCACCGUGCACGCACGUCACCCAGGCACCGUGCCCGAGCAUCGUGCCCUUGCACCGAGCACGCGUGCUGCGCCUGUGCGCACCGUGCACGCACGUCACCCAGGCACCGUGCCCGAGCAUCGUGCCCUUGCACCGAGCACGCGUGCUGCGCCUGUGCGCACCGUGCACGCACGUCACCCAGGCACCGUGCCCGAGCAUCGUGCCCUUGCACCGAGCACGCGUGCUGCGCCUGUGCGCACCGUGCACGCACGUCACCCAGGCACCGUGCCCGAGCAUCGUGCCCUUGCACCGAGCACGCGUGCUGCGCCUGUGCGCACCGUGCACGCACGUCACCCAGGCACCGUGCCCGAGCAUCGUGCCCUUGCACCGAGCACGCGUGCUGCGCCUGUGCACUGUAUGCAUGCACCGUGCACACACACUGUGCCCGUGCACGCACGCUGCCUGUGCACGGUGCCCAUGCACUGUGCACAUGUCCUGUGCCAGCACACCAUGCCCGUGCACAGUGCACAUGCACCGUGCACGCACACUGUGCACGCGCCACGCAGCAUGCCCAUGCACCGGGCACGGACGCUGUGCCAUGCGUGCACGCACACCAUGCUGCACACCGGGCCCGCUUCCCGCACAGCGCGCCCGUGCACUGUGCACACACACACCGGGGCAUGCACAGGGGUGCACACGCACCAGGCCACACACCGCGCACCAUACACUUUGGGCCGUGCCUGGUGCCUUUGCACUGUGCCGCUGUACCAUACCCGUACACCGUGCCUGCACACCGCGCCAGGCACCGCGCCUGUGCACCACGCUCCUGCACCGCACCCGCGAGGUGUGCCCACGCACCAUGCGUCUUCACGGCGCUACACCCCACUCCGGCACACCGCGUCUGCCGGCACGCUGCGUCCGCACACCGUCCCGUGCCCCCUCNNNNNNNNNNNNNNNNNNNNNNNNNNNNNNNNNNNNNNNNNNNNNNNNNNNNNNNNNNNNNNNNNNNNNNNNNNNNNNNNNNNNNNNNNNN
Molecule: long non-coding RNA, 2772 nt
Filed under: Struthio camelus australis
Lineage: Eukaryota; Metazoa; Chordata; Aves; Struthioniformes; Struthionidae
Description: lncRNA (ENSSCUG00000018077.1)
Source: RNAcentral